AUGGUCUCACAGCGCAAGAAUUCUUUUGUGUGGCGAGAUCUUUCAUUUGAAACCAAAAGCAUGUGGACCUUUCUUGACUACUUGAGGCUUUACUGUUAUUGUCAUCUUCUAGACCUUGUGCUUGCUUUGAUACUGAUAACGGGUACCCUUGAGUAUGAUGUUCUACAUCUUGGAUAUCUUGGCUUUGCUCUGAUCUUCUUCCGGACGAGGCUUACGAUUUUGAAAAAGAAAAAUGAGAUAUUCAAGUAUCUUCGCAUAUACAAUUUUACUGUCAUAGUUCUCUCUCUGGCCUAUCAGUCUCCAUUUAUCGGUGAUUUUAAUGCGGGAAAAUGUGAAACUGUAGAUUACAUUUACGAAGUGAUUGGAUUUUAUAAAUAUGAUUAUGGCUUUCGCAUUACCUCAAGAUCAGCUUUGGUCGAGAUCAUAAUCUUUGUGCUUGUCUCACUGCAAUCGUACAUGUUCUCUUCCCCAGAAUUCGAAUAUGUGUUCCGUUAUCUUGAGGCGGAACAAAUUGGUGCUGUUGUA
RNAcentral lists this unclassified non-coding RNA (525 nucleotides) under Hevea brasiliensis (rubber tree). Lineage: Eukaryota; Viridiplantae; Streptophyta; Magnoliopsida; Malpighiales; Euphorbiaceae. The record is from RNAcentral.